RNAcentral lists this unclassified non-coding RNA (155 nucleotides) under Podofomes mollis. Its description in RNAcentral is "Cerioporus mollis partial ITS2". The record is from RNAcentral. Lineage: Eukaryota; Fungi; Basidiomycota; Agaricomycetes; Polyporales; Polyporaceae.
CAACCUACAAAGCUUUGUGUUUUGUUAGGCUUGGANUUGGAGGCUUGCUGGCUCUUGUCAGCUUCUCUUAAAUUCAUUAGCUUGAUUCCUUGUGGAUCGGCCUCGGUGUGAUAAUUGUCUACGCUGUGACCGUGAAACAUAUGGUGAGCUUCUAA